GCCAGGCAUGGUGGCACAUGCCUGUAAUCCCAGCUACUUGGGAGGCUGAGGCAGGAGAAUCGCUUGAACCCAGGAAGCAGAAGUUGCAGUGAACGGAGAUCGCACCACUGCACUCCAGCCUGGGCGACAGAGCGAGACCCUGUCUCAA
Molecule: unclassified non-coding RNA, 148 nt
Organism: Callithrix jacchus (white-tufted-ear marmoset)
Lineage: Eukaryota; Metazoa; Chordata; Mammalia; Primates; Cebidae
Rfam family: Metazoan signal recognition particle RNA
About the family: The signal recognition particle (SRP) is a universally conserved ribonucleoprotein. It is involved in the co-translational targeting of proteins to membranes.
Source: Ensembl